GAGAGAGAGAGAGAGAGAGAGAGAGAGAGAGACAAUAAACCUUCACAGCUGGUGGAAACUGCUUAAACGUAGUACAUAAUAGCGUGUGUGUGUGUGCGUGUGUGUGUGUGUGUGUGUGUGUGUGCCAGCGAGCAAAACAAGAAAGUGGAGUGGAAAGAGAUGAAAAGAUUAGAAAAGCGAGGGGCGAGAGAGGAGAAAAACAGAAAGGAAAGAUAUGGAGAAAAACAGAAAAAAAGGGGAAUAGGAAAAGAAAGAAAGGAAAAUAAAUAAAGGAAAAUGUUUGAGGACUAUAGAAGGGGAGAGAAAAGUAGAGAAAAGUGAAAGAAGUGAAUACGAAAAGGAACAAAGAAAUGGAGAUAGAAAUGAAAGGAAUGAAUAAGAGAAAGGAACAAAGGAAUGGAGGAAAUGGAAACAAAACAGAGAAGUGAAUAAGAAAAGGAACAAAGAAAAUAAGAAAGAAAUUUGCCUCUGGAGAGAAAACUAUAAAAGGAGAAAGGAAAGAAGAGGAGGAAAAAGGGAAACGCGAAUGAGAAAGAGAAAAAGGAAACAGGACAAACUUAUGAUACGAUGAAGAUUGAAAUGACGAAACGAAGUGAAGGAAAAGAAACUUGACGAAUGAGAAAGAGAAAAGGAAAACAGGACAAACUUAUGAUACGAUGAAGAAUGAAAUGACGAAACGAAAAAGAGAAAGAGAAAAAGGACAAACUUAUGAUACGGUGAAGAACAGAAAUGACGAAACGAAGUGAAGAAAAAGAAACUUGACAAUAAAUAAACAAAAUAUGAAGGACAAAAAAAGUAACUUGAGAAUGAGUGGCAAAAACGAAGUGAAAAAAAAGUAAAAUAAACUUGAGGAUAUAAAUAAGAAAACGAGGCGAAGGAAAGAAAAAAAAAACUUGCCUUAUCAAUAUGAGUGUUUCCUUACGUGAACUUCUUGUGUGGAAAACGGAAAAAAAACUUCCUUAUCAAAACAAAACAAGGAAAAACAAUAUAAAGAAACUUAACGAUAAACAAACAAACUAACAAACAAAACGAAACACUCUUGCCACGCACACCUCACUCGUUAAAUUCUGAAACUAAAACUAAAAAAAAAAAAACGUAAAGAAAAACAGUAAACAAACAGAAGAGUGAGUGUGUGUGUGCGUGCGUGUGUGUGUGUGUGUGUGUGUGUGUGUGUGUGUGUGUGUGUGUGUGUGUGUGUGUUCUUUCUGUGAGUGUGUGUGAAUUAAGCGAGCCAGAUGGAAACAUUAUAUUUGUGUUCGUUCGUUCGUGUGUGUGCGUGUGUGUGUGUUCGUUGGUUUUAAGUUUCUGGACAAGGAGAAAAAAGAGGAGGAGGAGGAGGAGGAGGAAAGGAAGAGGAAGGAAGGAGGAAAGAAGGAAAGAAGAAGAAAAAUGUGGGAUAAGUUUAUCGAUAAUUGGAGGAGGAGGAGGGAAGGAAGAGGAAUUAGGAGAAGGAGAGAGAAGGAAGAGGGAAGAAAAGAAGAAGGGAAGGAAGAACGUGUGUGUGAUAAAUUUUUCGAUAAGUGGAGAAGGAGGAGGAGGAGGAGAAAAAGGAAGGAAACAUGGAAAGAGAGGAGGAAAGGAAGGAAAGAAAAAAACAAACUUGAUAAAAGACUUCCUUGACUGAUGGAAGAAAAGGAAAAAAAAUGGAGGAGAAGGAGAGGAGAAAAGGAAGAAGAGAAGAGAGACUGAAGGAAGGAAGGAAGGGAAAGAAGGGUGUGAUAAUAUAUAAAAAAGAAAAGAAAAAGAAAGAAGAGAGAGAAGAAGAGAAAGAAGGAAAGGAGAGGAAGAAGAUGAGUGAUAAAUACCUAUAGUUAUUUUGACUUGUAUUGUAAUAAUUAUGAGAGAGAGAGAGAGAGAGAGAGAGAGAGAGAGAGAGAGAGAGCAUGUACGUGUGUGUGUAUGUAUGUCAAUCUCUCUGUGUGUGUAUGUAUGUAUGUGUGUGUGUACGUGUGUUAAAUAUACUCUCACUUAUAA
Long non-coding RNA from Eriocheir sinensis (Chinese mitten crab), 1974 nucleotides. RefSeq lists it as uncharacterized. The transcript is spliced from 2 exons. The record is from RefSeq and is a predicted model, not a curated record. Lineage: Eukaryota; Metazoa; Arthropoda; Malacostraca; Decapoda; Varunidae.